AGUCGCACGAGAAAGUGGAGCAAUCCAUGAGUAAAGUGGCGUACGGGUGAGUAACACGUGGAUCAUCUACCUUUUAGUGGGGAAUACCCCUGGGAAACCGGGGACAAUACCGCAUAAGCUCGUAAGAGGAAAGCAGCAAUGCGCUGAAAGAGGAGUCCGCGGCUGAUUAGCUAGUUGGCGGGGUAACGGCCCACCAAGGCGAAGAUCGGUAGCCGGCCUGAGAGGGCACACGGCCACACUGGCACUGAAACACGGGCCAGACUCCUACGGGAGGCAGCAGUGGGGAAUCUUGCACAAUGGAGGAAACUCUGAUGCAGCGACGCCGCGUGAGCGAUGAAGCCCUUCGGGGUGUAAAGCUCUUUCGACGGGAACGAUAAUGACGGUACCCGAAGAAGAAGCUGCGGCUAACUACGUGCCAGCAGCCGCGGUAAUACGUAGGCAGCGAGCGUUGUUCGGAAUUACUGGGCGUAAAGAGUGCGUAGGCGGUGCUCUAAGUCUGUCGUGAAAUCUCCCGGCUUAACUGGGAGGGUGCGGCGGAAACUGGAGUGCUCGAGUGUGGGAGAGGUAAGCGGAAUUCCUGGUGUAGCGGAGAAAUGCGUAGAUAUCANGGAGGAACACCUGUGGUGUAGACAGCUUACUGGACCACGACUGACGCUGAGGCACGAAAG
RNAcentral lists this ribosomal RNA (668 nucleotides) under uncultured Fibrobacteres/Acidobacteria group bacterium. RNAcentral's name for it is "bacterial SSU rRNA". It matches the Rfam family "Bacterial small subunit ribosomal RNA", at positions 60 to 759 of the family's 1533-position model. Lineage: Bacteria; Pseudomonadati. The record is from RNAcentral.